AUUGAACGCUGGCGGCAUGCCUUACACAUGCAAGUCGAACGGCAGCACGGGGGCAACCCUGGUGGCGAGUGGCGAACGGGUGAGUAAUGCAUCGGAACGUGCCCAGUAGUGGGGAUAACUAGUCGAAAGAUUAGCUAAUACCGCAUACGACCUAUGGGUGAAAGCGGGGGAUUCGCAAGAACCUCGCGCUAUUGGAGCGGCCGAUGUCUGAUUAGCUAGUUGGCGGGGCAAAGCCCACCAAGGCUUCGAUCAGUAGCUGGUCUGAGAGGACGACCAGCCACACUGGGACUGAGACACGGCCCAGACUCCUACGGGAGGCAGCAGUGGGGAAUUUUGGACAAUGGGCGCAAGCCUGAUCCAGCCAUGCCGCGUGCGGGAAGAAGGCC
Molecule: ribosomal RNA, 386 nt
Filed under: uncultured bacterium
Lineage: Bacteria
Description: bacterial SSU rRNA
Rfam family: Bacterial small subunit ribosomal RNA
Source: RNAcentral